UGCUCAGCAACUCCUAUCUCUACCUCCUCGUGGUACUGGCUGGGGUACGAGUAACCUCAGAGAAGAUCCCCGGUGGGAACUUUGGUCGUAUGCUGACAAGGAAGG
Non-coding RNA from Aedes aegypti (yellow fever mosquito), 105 nucleotides. The record is from Rfam. Lineage: Eukaryota; Metazoa; Arthropoda; Insecta; Diptera; Culicidae.